This 459-nucleotide ribosomal RNA is filed under the name uncultured bacterium. RNAcentral's name for it is "SSU rRNA". It matches the Rfam family "Bacterial small subunit ribosomal RNA", at positions 26 to 518 of the family's 1533-position model. The record is from RNAcentral.
AGAAUCAACGCUGGCGGCGUGCCUAACACAUGCAAGUCGAACGAGAAAGUGGAGCAAUCCAUGAGUAAAGUGGCGCACGGGUGAGUAACACGUGACUAACCUACCCUUGAGUGGGGGAUAACCUAGGGAAACCUGGGCUAAUACCGCAUAAUACCUUCGGGUCAAAGGAGCAAUUCGCUUAAGGAGGGGGUCGCGGCCGAUUAGUUAGUUGGCGGGGUAAUGGCCCACCAAGACGAUGAUCGGUAUCCGGCCUGAGAGGGCGCACGGACACACUGGAACUGAAACACGGUCCAGACUCCUACGGGAGGCAGCAGUGGGGAAUUUGCGCAAUGGGGGAAACCCUGACGCAGCAACGCCGCGUGGAGGAUGAAGCCCCUUGGGGCGUAAACUCCUUUCGAUCGGGAAGAUAAUGACGGUACCGAGAGAAGAAGCCCCGGCUAACUUCGUGCCAGCAGCCGC